Molecule: non-coding RNA, 391 nt
Organism: Cinara cedri
Lineage: Eukaryota; Metazoa; Arthropoda; Insecta; Hemiptera; Aphididae
Source: the annotation of a GenBank genome assembly
UAAUCUUUAUUUACUCUUUUGAUUUAUUAAGUUACAUUCUUACAAUUUAUCAGGUAUUAACCAAAGUGUUAGUAAAUGAGUAUAUUAUUUGUAUAGUUAGAUUAGGUAUAUUUUUAGUAUUUAUUCCUGUGAAUAAUGUAAAAAACAAAAUUGGUUAUCUUUAUUAUCUUUGGAGAUAUUAUAUUGCAAUGACUAGGUAUAUCUUUGUGAGACUCUGUAUUAUUUAUAACCAGUGUAGACUAAAUGUUGAUUUAUUAAAACUAACAGGUCCACGUGAAGGACAAUCAGUAACUGGUAAGUUUUUUUUUUUCUUUAAUACCGUGUUUUUUUCAAAGUUUGAUUAUAUUUUUUAGAUGCUGUUGUUGCGCAUGUCUUUAACACUUCAAGUAAA